AACGAACGCUGGCGGCAUGCCUAACACAUGCAAGUCGAACGAGACCUUCGGGUCUGGUGGCGCACGGGUGCGUAACGCGGGGGAACCUGCCCUUAGGUUCGGAAUAACUCCCCGAAAGGGGUGCGAAUACCGGAUAAUGUCUUCGGACCAAUGAUUUAUCGCCUUUGGAUGGGCCCGCGUUGGAUUAGCUAGUUGGUAGGGUAAAAGCCUACCAAGGCGACGAUCCAUAGCUGGUCUGAGAGGAUGAUCAGCCACACUGGGACUGAGACACGGCCCAGACUCCUACGGGAGGCAGCAGUGGGGAAUAUUGGAGAAUGGGCGAAAGCCUGAUCCAGCAAUGCCGCGUGAGUGAUGAAGGCCUUAGGGUUGUAAAGCUCUUUUACCCGGGAUGAUAAUGACAGUACCGGGAGAAUAAGCUCCGGCUAACUCCGUG
This 433-nucleotide ribosomal RNA is filed under the name uncultured bacterium. Its description in RNAcentral is "partial 16S ribosomal RNA". It matches the Rfam family "Bacterial small subunit ribosomal RNA", at positions 29 to 507 of the family's 1533-position model. The record is from RNAcentral.